CCGGCUAACUCUGUGCCAGCAGCCGCGGUAAUACAGAGGGUGCAAGCGUUAAUCGGAAUUACUGGGCGUAAAGCGAGCGUAGGUGGCUUGAUAAGUCAGAUGUGAAAUCCCCGGGCUUAACCUGGGAACUGCAUCUGAUACUGUUAGGCUAGAAUAGGUGAGAGGAAGGUAGAAUUCCAGGUGUAGCGGUGAAAUGCGUAGAGAUCUGGAGGAAUACCGAUGGCGAAGGCAGCCUUCUGGCAUCAUAUUGACACUGAGGUUCGAAAGCGUGGGUAGCAAACAGGAUUAGAUACCCUGGUAGUCCACGCCGUAAACGAUGUCUACUAGUCGUUGGGUCCCUUGAGGACUUAGUGACGCAGCUAACGCAAUAAGUAGACCGCCUGGGGAGUACGGCCGCAAGGUUAAAACUCAAAUGAAUUGACGGUGGGUCGACGCGGCCG
Molecule: ribosomal RNA, 440 nt
Filed under: uncultured Psychrobacter sp.
Lineage: Bacteria; Pseudomonadati; Pseudomonadota; Gammaproteobacteria; Moraxellales; Moraxellaceae
Description: bacterial SSU rRNA
Rfam family: Bacterial small subunit ribosomal RNA
Source: RNAcentral